UCCUUGGUGGUCCAGUGGUUAGGACUCCGUACUUUCACUGCUGUGACCCAGGUUCAGUCCCUGGUCGGGGAG
This 72-nucleotide transfer RNA is filed under the name Ovis aries (sheep). RNAcentral's name for it is "tRNA-Glu (TTC) (tRNA-Glu-TTC-33-1)". It matches the Rfam family "tRNA". Rfam says of the family: Transfer RNA (tRNA) molecules are approximately 80 nucleotides in length. Their secondary structure includes four short double-helical elements and three loops (D, anti-codon, and T loops). Further hydrogen bonds mediate the characteristic L-shaped molecular structure. tRNAs have two regions of fundamental functional importance: the anti-codon, which is responsible for specific mRNA codon recognition, and the 3' end, to which the tRNAs corresponding amino acid is attached (by aminoacyl-tRNA synthetases). tRNAs cope with the degeneracy of the genetic code in two manners: having more than one tRNA (with a specific anti-codon) for a particular amino acid; and 'wobble' base-pairing, i.e. permitting non-standard base-pairing at the 3rd anti-codon position. Lineage: Eukaryota; Metazoa; Chordata; Mammalia; Artiodactyla; Bovidae. The record is from Rfam by way of RNAcentral.